This is a transfer RNA of 93 nucleotides. It matches the Rfam family "tRNA". Rfam says of the family: Transfer RNA (tRNA) molecules are approximately 80 nucleotides in length. Their secondary structure includes four short double-helical elements and three loops (D, anti-codon, and T loops). Further hydrogen bonds mediate the characteristic L-shaped molecular structure. tRNAs have two regions of fundamental functional importance: the anti-codon, which is responsible for specific mRNA codon recognition, and the 3' end, to which the tRNAs corresponding amino acid is attached (by aminoacyl-tRNA synthetases). tRNAs cope with the degeneracy of the genetic code in two manners: having more than one tRNA (with a specific anti-codon) for a particular amino acid; and 'wobble' base-pairing, i.e. permitting non-standard base-pairing at the 3rd anti-codon position. The record is from Rfam.
ACAGAUGGCCGAGCGGUUAAGGCGCUAGCUUAAGGUAUCCUCAUAGGAUCUGUACGCUAGUUCGAAAGAGCGUGGGUUCGAUUCCCACUCUGU